CCUACGGGAGGCAGCAGUGGGGAAUAUUGGACAAUGGGCGAAAGCCUGAUCCAGCAAUGCCGCGUGAGUGAUGAAGGCCUUAGGGUCGUAAAGCUCUUUUACCAGGGAUGAUAAUGACAGUACCUGGAGAAUAAGCUCCGGCUAACUCCGUGCCAGCAGCCGCGGUAAUACGGAGGGAGCUAGCGUUGUUCGGAAUUACUGGGCGUAAAGCGUGCGUAGGCGGUUAUUCAAGUCAGAGGUGAAAGCCCGGGGCUCAACCCCGGAACGGCCUUUGAAACUAGAUAACUAGAAUCUUGGAGAGGUCAGUGGAAUUCCGAGUGUAGAGGUGAAAUUCGUAGAUAUUCGGAAGAACACCAGUGGCGAAGGCGACUGACUGGACAAGUAUUGACGCUGAGGUACGAAAGCGUGGGGAGCAAACAGGAUUAGAUACCCUGGUAGUCCACGCCGUAAACGAUGAUAACUAGCUGUCCGGACACUUGGUGUUUGGGUGGCGCAGCUACGACAUUAAGUUAUACCGUCCGUCGGGUAGGUACGGUCGCGAAGAAUUAAACUAACUAAUAGAAGUUAGUACGGCGUGAGACGUGCCGACGGACGACGACGACGGGAGGUAGG
This 612-nucleotide ribosomal RNA is filed under the name uncultured bacterium. RNAcentral's name for it is "bacterial SSU rRNA". The stretch from base 1 to 519 matches the Rfam family "Bacterial small subunit ribosomal RNA", at positions 338 to 873 of the family's 1533-position model. The record is from RNAcentral.